Phellopilus nigrolimitatus is the source of this 87-nucleotide non-coding RNA. The record is from the annotation of a GenBank genome assembly. NCBI's taxonomy places the organism in Eukaryota, Fungi, Basidiomycota, Agaricomycetes, Hymenochaetales, Hymenochaetaceae.
UCCUCGAUGGUCCAUCGGCUAGGAUUCCACGCUUUCACUUAAUUUAGAAGUUCCGUGGCGGGCCGGGUUCGAUUCCCGGUCGGGGAA